GUGAACGCUGGCGGUAGGCCUAACCCAUGCCAGUCGAACGGCAGCACAGUAAGAGCUUGCUCUUACGGGUGGCGAGUGGCGGACGGGUGAGGAAUACAUCGGAAUCUACUUUUUCGUGGGGGAUAACGUAGGGAAACUUACGCUAAUACCGCAUACGACCUACGGGUGAAAGCAGGGGAUCUUCGGACCUUGCGCGAUUGAAUGAGCCGAUGUCGGAUUAGCCAGUUGGCGGGGUAAAGGCCCACCAAGGCGACGAUCCGUAGCUGGUCUGAGAGGAUGAUCAGCCACACUGGAACUGAGACACGGUCCAGACUCCUACGGGAGGCAGCAGUGGGGAAUAUUGGACAAUGGGCGCAAGCCUGAUCCAGCCAUACCGCGUGGGUGAAGAAGGCCUUCGGGUUGUAAAGCCCUUUUGUUGGGAAAGAAAAGCAGCAGGUUAAUACCCCGCUGUUCUGACGGUACCCAAAGAAUAAGCACCGGCUAACUUCGUG
This 491-nucleotide ribosomal RNA is filed under the name uncultured bacterium. RNAcentral describes it as "partial 16S ribosomal RNA". It matches the Rfam family "Bacterial small subunit ribosomal RNA", at positions 29 to 507 of the family's 1533-position model. The record is from RNAcentral.